UACGUAGGGGGCAAGCGUUGUCCGGCUUUAUUGGGCGUAAAGAGCGUGUAGGCGGCUGGGUAGGUCCGUUGUGAAAACUCGAGGCUCAACCUCGAGACGCCGAUGGAAACCCUCCAGCUAGAGUCCGGAAGAGGAGAGUGGAAUUCCUGGUGUAGCGGUGAAAUGCGCAGAUAUCAGGAAGAACACCCGUGGCUAAGGCGGCUCUCUAGUACGGUACUGACGCUGAGACGCGAAAGCGUGGGGAGCAAACAGG
Molecule: ribosomal RNA, 253 nt
Filed under: uncultured bacterium
Lineage: Bacteria
Description: partial 16S ribosomal RNA
Rfam family: Bacterial small subunit ribosomal RNA
Source: RNAcentral